This 391-nucleotide unclassified non-coding RNA is filed under the name soil metagenome. RNAcentral's name for it is "partial contains 5.8S ribosomal RNA, internal transcribed spacer 2, and large subunit ribosomal RNA". The stretch from base 1 to 122 matches the Rfam family "5.8S ribosomal RNA", at positions 35 to 154 of the family's 154-position model. The record is from RNAcentral.
GAUGAAGAACGCAGCGAAAUGCGAUACUAGGUGUGAAUUGCAGAAUCCCGUGAACCAUCGAGUCUUUGAACGCAAGUUGCGCCCGAAGCCAUUAGGCCGAGGGCACGCCUGCCUGGGCGUCACACGUCGUUGCCCCCCCAUCUACUCCUUCGGGAUUGCGGGGGGCGGAUGAUGGCCUCUCGUGCGCCUCGUCGCGCGGUUGGCCUAAAUGCCAAGUCCUCGGCGACGCACGCCACGACAAUCGGUGGUUGCGAAACCUCGGUUGCCUGUCGUGUGCGGUCGUCGCGCAUCGAGGGCUCGAAAAAAUUGCCGGGCUUCGGCUCGACUUUCAACGCGACCCCAGGUCAGGCGGGGUUACCCGCUGAAUUUAAGCAUAUCAAUAAGCGGAGGA